RNAcentral lists this long non-coding RNA (380 nucleotides) under Cucumis sativus (cucumber). RNAcentral describes it as "long non-coding RNA (CSAT_LNC000911)". The record is from RNAcentral. Lineage: Eukaryota; Viridiplantae; Streptophyta; Magnoliopsida; Cucurbitales; Cucurbitaceae.
UGGUUGUAGUUUCCUUUGAUCAUGAAGAGUUGAGCAAAAUGAUGCUUACAGUACAACACUCCAUCAAGAGCAGCAUAUGAAGAGUGUGUUAAAUGGCAUCCACCAUGAGCACAUCUAAAGCAAUUCUUAUGGUAACAUUCCCCCUCAAGAGUCACCUUUUUUUUUUAUUUAGGAACCAAAAAAAAGCUUUUGAUCAGUCAACAAAUCUAGUAACAUUCUACCUGUAUAUAUAUAUAUAUAUAAUUUUUUAGAGAGAAAAAUGAAGAACUAUAGACCUUCUCCAACGGAUAAACCGUUUUCGAGCAGGCCGCACAUUUGUCUUGAGUUCCAGAGAACAUGGAGGACAGUUUGCUAGGAGCUCUUGACUGCUACACGUUUCG